GCUACGGGUGGCUGCAGUAGGGAAUCUUCCACAAUGGGCGAAAGCCUGAUGGAGCAACGCCGCGUGGGUGAAGAAGGUCUUCGGAUCGUAAAACCCUGUUGUUAGAGAAGAAAGUGCGUGAGAGUAACUGUUCACGUUUCGACGGUAUCUAACCAGAAAGCCACGGCUAACUACGUGCCAGCAGCCGCGGUAAUACGGAGGAUGCGAGCGUUAUCCGGAUUUAUUGGGUUUAAAGGGUGCGUAGGCGGACUGUUAAGUCAGCGGUAAAAGCCCGGGGCUCAACCCCGGCUAGCCGUUGAAACUGGCUGUCUUGAGAUGUCGAGAGGUAUGCGGAAUGCGCAGUGUAGCGGUGAAAUGCUUAGAUAUUGCGCAGAACUCCGAUUGCGAAGGCAGCAUACCGGCGGCGAUCUGACGCUGAGGCACGAAAGCGUGGGUAUCGAACAGGAUUAGAUACCCGGGUAGUC
This 464-nucleotide ribosomal RNA is filed under the name uncultured bacterium. Its description in RNAcentral is "partial 16S ribosomal RNA". It matches the Rfam family "Bacterial small subunit ribosomal RNA", at positions 338 to 795 of the family's 1533-position model. The record is from RNAcentral.